GAUGAACGCUAGCUACAGGCUUAACACAUGCAAGUCGAGGGGAAACGAUAUUGGAAGCUUGCUUCCGAUAGGCGUCGACCGGCGCACGGGUGAGUAACGCGUAUCCAACCUGCCCAUCACUUGGGGAUAACCUUGCGAAAGUAAGACUAAUACCCAAUGACGUCUCUAGAAGACAUCUGAAGGAGAUUAAAGAUUUAUCGGUGAUGGAUGGGGAUGCGUCUGAUUAGCUUGUUGGCGGGGUAACGGCCCACCAAGGCGACGAUCAGUAGGGGUUCUGAGAGGAAGGUCCCCCACAUUGGAACUGAGACACGGUCCAAACUCCUACGGGAGGCAGCAGUGAGGAAUAUUGGUCAAUGGGCGAGAGCCUGAACCAGCCAAGUAGCGUGAAGGAUGACUGCCCUAUGGGUUGUAAACUUCUUUUAUAAGGGAAUAAAGUGAGUCUCGUGAGAUUUUUUGCAUGUACCUUAUGAAUAAGGACCGGCUAAUUCCGUGCCAGCAGCC
Molecule: ribosomal RNA, 501 nt
Filed under: uncultured bacterium
Lineage: Bacteria
Description: bacterial SSU rRNA
Rfam family: Bacterial small subunit ribosomal RNA
Source: RNAcentral